Long non-coding RNA from Ruditapes philippinarum (Manila clam), 2394 nucleotides. RefSeq lists it as uncharacterized. The transcript has 2 exons. Lineage: Eukaryota; Metazoa; Mollusca; Bivalvia; Venerida; Veneridae. The record is from RefSeq and is a predicted model, not a curated record.
GCCAGUUUCAAUUAACACGUCGCGCGCCGUUUUUAUUCUGCUAAUUAGCACAGUGGCACAGGCAUGCAAACUUCCAGGUUAAUAUUUCGCCAUAAACUGACAUUUGGAGAAGAAUUAUGAGGACAUGUUCAACAACAUCCAAGCUGAAGAAGUAGAGGACCUUUUAUUGAUUUGGAGACCAAGGCAGAGCAGGAGCGCAGCACUAAAAGAGCCUGGGGAAAGGCCUGCCUUAUUGCGUGGUGGAAGCUUACAUGAAACAGGAAGACAUGGCAGUGUUACAUGAAUGAUUAUAUAAUGACAAUACAGAAAAAAAGUUUGAGGGUUAAUGUGUUUCGUGUGUUCAACUGACUACUCAAGUCAACAUCUAUACUGUAAUGAAGCUUCAGAAUUUAGCCUUUCUAAAGAAUAUUUAGGAUCUUAAGUGGAUGGACUUGUAAACCCAUUUCCAGUAACAUUUUGAUGUAUUCAUUAUAUAUAGCUGUGUAUGUGUUCUAGAAACAUAUUAUUUCUACCAGCCAAUGAAAGAGAGCCAUGUCUGUGUGAAAAUCUAAGCUAACUGAAAUGUGUGAGCAACUCAAUAAUUUACUAGUUCAUGAAACAUGCCAUGAAAAGAAAACAAAUCUAGAAAGGGAGUCAGAUAUCAAAAUAGCAAUGAAAGAACAACAAUAUCUAAAACUUGCAGAAUCCACUUGAUUUAGUCUGUUUGUGAGAGAAAAUGUUAAAGUGCAAUAUCAACUAAAUUUGCUGGAAUUAUCCCAAACGGCAAUUAUGAAGCCUUGCUGGGAUUCAUAUUACAGAUAAAGUUUGCUGGACAGAAAUCAUGUCUAAAUAAUGAAGAUACAGAAGUGGCUUUGAUAUAUGAGAAAAAUAUACUUGAAAAAUGGAAAAGCUUUAUUUAAGAAAUAAUUUAAUAAGCAAAUACCAACUUGUGAAUUUGGUUUUCAUAAAAUAAUGAGGUUUUAUCUAUUUUUAUGCAUACAAGGAAUGUAUACCACAUUAUUAAUAUUAUCACACGCUCAAUAAUUUUUUAUGCCUCCGGGCAUAUAGUAAUUGAACUGUCCGUCUGUCUGUUUGUAUAAGGAUAACCUAAAACAGCAAGUUUUUUUUCUUGAGUUCUACCUGCACCAAUGGCUUCAUAAUUCACACAUUCACUAAUCAGUUCAAAGAAUACAAUCUCCAGGGGCAAGUUAAAUAACUAUGGCUUCCAUUUUUACCAAGUUAUUGCCCUUUUGAGCACUUUGAAAAUGAAAAGAUUAACCAAAACCGUCAAAUUGGAUAUAUCUUAAGUUCUGUCUAUACUAAUGGCUUCAUAAUUUUCACAUGUACUUCUCGGGACAAAGUGCAUUGAUAUUGCUAAGUAAUAUUACUGUGCCAUCCAUUUUUUCACAGUUAUUUCCCUUUUUAUCACUUUGAAUAUAGGGCAAUGUAUGGUUAACCUUUUCAGGCAAGUUGGAUAUAUCUUAAAUUUCUCCUUAAUACUUCUUUUAUUUACAUUGUGAUACAUUGAGGGACUUUGAAAUGACCUGGCACAAAUUUGUACUACAUCAAGAGGAUGUGUCACAUUCAUGAACCAUGUCCCUUUUCAAAGGUCAAGUUCACACUUUUAUUUUGAAGGUUCACACUAUCACAACUAGAGAUAGGUACACACAUUCUUGUCCGGAAUAUACUUUGUAACUUUGUCGUGCAAUGAAGGAUUUUAAAAUAACUUAGCACAAAUGUCAACCACAUCUAGAUGAUGUGUUGUGUGUAAGACCCAUGUUCCUACCUCCAAGGUGAAGGUCACUAUAAUAGUUUGAAGGUACUUAAGGUCAUAAGAAGAGUUUGAAGGUACGCAUUAGUUUUCAAACUGUAAAGUUGUCAUGCAUUAGAGGAUUUUAAAAUAACUUUGCAUAAAUGUCUAUCACAUAAAGGUGAUGUGUGCAUCCAAGACCCUUGUCCCAAGGUGUUAAGUUUGCUAUAAAAAGUACUUCAUUUCACAAGAACAAUGUUAAGCAAUUAGUUAUUUUCAUGGGGGCGUCCGUGGUCGAGUGGUUAAGGUCGUUGACUUCAAACCACUUGCCCCUGACCGCUGUGGGUUUGAAUCCCAACAGGGACAUUGGAUUCUUUCAUGUGAGGAAGCUAAUCCAGCUAGCUUAGCGUAAGUUACGGAAGGUCGGUGGUUCAGUGCAUUAUUUCAGGCACAAACGGGCUCCUCCACCAGUAAAGUUGAAACGUAAUCAUAUUACCUAUACUGUGUCAGUGUGACGUAAAACCCAAUCAAACAAACAAAGUUAUUUUCAUUCUGUUUUCUUUUCAUAAUACCUGCAUGCUUAAGAACCCUUUUUUGUGGGAUAUGUCACUUGCGUGACAGCUCUUGUUUAUACAGCAUUACAGUAUAUUUUUUCCAAUGUCUCA